Molecule: ribosomal RNA, 460 nt
Filed under: uncultured bacterium
Lineage: Bacteria
Description: partial 16S ribosomal RNA
Rfam family: Bacterial small subunit ribosomal RNA
Source: RNAcentral
CCUACGGGUGGCUGCAGUGAGGAAUAUUGGGCAAUGCGCGCGAGCCUGAACCAGCCAAGUAGCGUGAAUGAUGACUGCCCUCCGGGUUGUAAACUUCUUUUAUAAGGGAAUAAAUUGAGGCACGUGUGCCUUUUUGUAUGUACUUUAUGAAUAAGGAUCGGCUCACUCCGUGCCAGCAGCCGCGGUACUACGGAGGAUCCGAGCGUUAUCCGGUUUUAUUGGGUUUAAAGGGAGCGUAGAUGGGUUGUUAAGUCAGUUGUGAAAGUUUGCGGCUCAACCGUAAAAUUGCAAGUGAUACUGGCUGUCUUGAGAUGUAGAGAGGUAUGCGGAAUGCGCAGUGUAGCGGUGAAAUGCUUAGAUAUUGCGCAGAACUCCGAUUGCGAAGGCAGCAUACCGGCGGCGAUCUGACGCUGAGGUACGAAAGCGUGGGUAUCGAACAGGAUUAGAUACCCGAGUAGUC